RNAcentral lists this ribosomal RNA (377 nucleotides) under uncultured bacterium. RNAcentral's name for it is "bacterial SSU rRNA". It matches the Rfam family "Bacterial small subunit ribosomal RNA", at positions 46 to 454 of the family's 1533-position model. The record is from RNAcentral.
UCCUAACACAUGCAAGUCGAGCGAGGACUUCGGUCCUAGCGGCGGACGGGUGAGUAACGCGUGGGAACGUGCCCUUUGCUACGGAAUAGCCCUGGGAAACUGGGAGUAAUACCGUAUGUGCCCUUUGGGGGAAAGAUUUAUCGGCAAAGGAUCGGCCCGCGUUGGAUUAGGUAGUUGGUGGGGUAAUGGCCUACCAAGCCGACGAUCCAUAGCUGGUUUGAGAGGAUGAUCAGCCACACUGGGACUGAGACACGGCCCAGACUCCUACGGGAGGCAGCAGUGGGGAAUCUUAAACGAUGGGCGCAAGCCUGAUCUAGCCAUGCCGCGUGUUUAGAGAGGCCUUAGGGUUGUAAGGCUCUUCAGGGGGAAGAUAAUGA